This 406-nucleotide ribosomal RNA is filed under the name uncultured bacterium. RNAcentral's name for it is "partial 16S ribosomal RNA". It matches the Rfam family "Bacterial small subunit ribosomal RNA", at positions 30 to 526 of the family's 1533-position model. The record is from RNAcentral.
AUUGAACGCUGGCGGCAGGCCUAACACAUGCAAGUCGAACGAGUGGCGGACGGGUGAGUAAUGUCUGGGAAACUGCCCGAUGGAGGGGGAUAACUACUGGAAACGGUAGCUAAUACCGCAUACCAUCAGAUGUGCCCAGAUGGGAUUAGCUUGUGGGUGGGGUAACGGCGCACCAAGGCGACGAUCCCUAACUGGUCUGAGAGGAAGACCAGCCACACUGGAACUGAGAACCGGGCCAGACUCCUACGGUAGUCAGCAGUGGGGAAUAUUGCACAAUGGGCGCAAGCCUGAUGCAGCCAGGCCGCGUGUAUGAAGAAGGCCUUCGGGUUGUAAAGUACUUUCAGCGGGGAGGCGUUACCCGCAGAAGAAGCACCGGCUAACUCCGUGCCAGCAGCCGCGGUAAUAC